UCUGGUUGAUCCUGCCAGUAGUCAUAUGCUUGUCUCAAAGAUUAAGCCAUGCAUGUCUAAGUAUAAAUAGUAUACAGUGAAACUGCGAAUGGCUCAUUAAAACAGUUAUAGUUUAUUUGAUAAUUGACAAUUACAUGGAUAACCGUGGUAAUUCUAGAGCUAAUACAUGCUUAAACGCCCGACUUUAUGGAAGGGUGGUAUUUAUUAGACUGAAGCCAAUAUUCCUUGUGUCUAUUGCGGUGAUUCAUAAUAACUGAUCGAAUCUCUUUUUGAGAUAAAUCAUUCAAGUUUCUGCCCUAUCAGCUUUCGAUGGUAGUGUAUUGGACUACCAUGGCAGUAACGGGUAACGAAGAAUUAGGGUUCGAUUUCGGAGAGGGAGCAUGAGAAACGGCUACCACAUCUAAGGAAGGCAGCAGGCGUGUAAAUUACCCAAUCCUGACUCAGGGAGGUAGUGACAAGAAAUAGCAAACCGGGAACCUCAUGGUUUCACGGUAUUGCAAUGAGAACAAUCUAAAACCCUUAGCGAGAAUCAAGUGGAGGACAAGUCUGGUGCCAGCACCCGCGGUAAUUCCAGCUCCACUAGCGUAUAUUAAAGUUGUUGCAGUUAAAAAGCUCGUAGUUGAACCUCUGUCUGGGGCUAGUUUUGGCUUUGGUCAGGCUAGUUCUAGGCAUCCGCCUACAGACUUAGAGGGCAUUCAGUUGUUCACUAGGAGGAGUAGGCAUUUUACUUUGAAAAAAUUAGAGUGUUUAAGGCAGGCAAUCGCCCGCAUAUAUUAGCAUGGAAUAAUAGAAUAGGACACUUUUCCAUUUCGUUGGUUAUUGGAAUCGUGUAAUGAUUAAUAGGGACAGUUGUGGGCAUUUGUAUUUAAUUGUCAGAGGUGAAAUUCUUGGAUUUAUUAAAGACAAACUAACGCGAAAGCAUUUGCCAAGGAUGUUUUCAUUAAUCAAGAACGAAAGUUAGGGGAUCAAAGACGAUCAGAUACCGUCCUAGUCUUAACUAUAAACUAUUCCGACUCAAUGUUUGACUGGCUUAUAUAACCAGUUGAGCGUUGUAUGAGAAAUCAAAGUCUUUAGGUUCUGGGGGGAGUAUGGUUGCAAAGCUGAAACUUAAAGGAAUUGACGGAAGAGCACAACCAGGAGUGGAUUCUGCGGCUUAAUUUGACUCAACACGGGGAAACUUACCAGGUUAAAACAAUAGUGGGAUUGACAGUUUGAGAGCGCUUUCUUGAUUGGUUGGGUGGUGGUGCAUGGCCGUUCUUAGUUGGUGGAGUGAUUUGUCUGCUUAAUUGCGUUAACGAACGAGACCUUAACCUGCUUACUAGACUGGCGAUCAUCAAUCGUUAGCUCUUCUUAGAGGGACUUUGGUCGUUUUAACUCCAAGGAAGUUU
This 1388-nucleotide ribosomal RNA is filed under the name metagenome. RNAcentral's name for it is "SSU rRNA". It matches the Rfam family "Eukaryotic small subunit ribosomal RNA", at positions 1 to 1446 of the family's 1831-position model. The record is from RNAcentral.